GUGCCAGCAGCCGCGGUAAUACGUGGGGUGCAAGCGUUGUUCGGAAUUACUGGGCGUAAAGCGCGUGUAGGUGGCUAAUUAUGUCAGGUGUGAAAGCCCUCGGCCUAACUGAGGAAGUGCGCCUGAAACUGAUUGGCUUGAGUACGAGAGAGGAGGACGGAAUUCCCAGUGUAGAGGUGAAAUUCGUAGAUAUUGGGAGGAACACCGGCGGCGAAAGCGGUUCUCUGGAUCGAUACUGACACUAAGACGCGAAAGCGUGGGUAGCAAACAGGAUUAGAUACCCUGGUAGUCC
Molecule: ribosomal RNA, 292 nt
Filed under: uncultured bacterium
Lineage: Bacteria
Description: partial 16S ribosomal RNA
Rfam family: Bacterial small subunit ribosomal RNA
Source: RNAcentral